Molecule: ribosomal RNA, 442 nt
Filed under: uncultured bacterium
Lineage: Bacteria
Description: partial 16S ribosomal RNA
Rfam family: Bacterial small subunit ribosomal RNA
Source: RNAcentral
CCUACGGGUGGCAGCAGUGGGGAAUAUUGGGCAAUGGGCGAAAGCCUGACCCAGCAACGCCGCGUGAAGGAAGAAGGCUUUCGGGUUGUAAACUUCUUUUGUCAGGGAAGAGUAGAAGACGGUACCUGACGCAUAAGCCACGGCUAACUACGUGCCAGCAGCCGCGGUAAUACGUAGGUGGCAAGCGUUGUCCGGAAUUACUGGGUGUAAAGGGCGUGUAGCCGGGUUGACAAGUCAGAUGUGAAAUCCUGCGGCUUAACCCCAGAACUGCAUUUGAAACUGGUGAACUUGAGUAAUGGAGAGGCAGAUGGAAGUCCGAGUGUAGCGGUGAAAUGCGUAGAUAUUAGGAGGAACACCAGUGGCGAAGGCGGUCUGCUGGACAGCAACUGACGGUGAGGCACGAAAGCGUGGGGAGCAAACAGGAUUAGAUACCCCUGUAGUC